AAAUUUUUCACUUUUCAUAUCUGAAAAAUUCUCUGCAGAUUCAAAUUUGGAAUAGUUGAAGAAGAAGAAGAGGAAGAGAAAAUGAGAGGAAACGAUCCGAAUCCGUUUGAUGAAGAGGAGCCUGAAGUCAAUCCUUUUUCAAAAGGUGGCUCCGCUCCUGCUUCGAAGUCACGCUUCCCUCAAAUGAUUGCUAGUACUCUUGGUUUUGGCCAAAAACAUGAUGCAACUGAUGACGUCCCAUUGGAUUCAAUGAAUGGCUCCAACAAGAAGCAAAAAGAAUUAGCAACCUGGGAAGCAGAUCUGCAAAGGAGAGAAAGAGAUAUUAAACGAAGAGAAGAUGCUGUUGCUGGUGCUGGUGUGCCAACUGAUGAUAGGAAUUGGCCGCCCUUCUUUCCAAUUAUUCAUCAUG
This 409-nucleotide unclassified non-coding RNA is filed under the name Hevea brasiliensis (rubber tree). The record is from RNAcentral. Lineage: Eukaryota; Viridiplantae; Streptophyta; Magnoliopsida; Malpighiales; Euphorbiaceae.